Long non-coding RNA from Branchiostoma floridae (Florida lancelet), 389 nucleotides. RefSeq lists it as uncharacterized. The record is from RefSeq and is a predicted model, not a curated record. NCBI's taxonomy places the organism in Eukaryota, Metazoa, Chordata, Leptocardii, Amphioxiformes, Branchiostomatidae. The transcript is spliced from 3 exons.
CAACCUCAGUACGGACCAGGUCAGUGCUGUACGCUAGGGACAUUAACGAAAACCUUGACAUUGAACAAAAGUGACUACAAGAUUCAAUCCGAAGAUACCAUCGGGUCAAACAAGGUAGGAGUGACCCCAACUUAGAGGACAAGGAGUUACACCUUCAACAAAGGUGGUCUUUCUCACCGUUAUUGGCAUCAUCACAAGGAAGGCUUCUUCAUCCAGCGGCGUUGCAGAUGAGGAAUUCUACCAAGCUGCAACCGAGAUUCAAUCCUACUUUGCCAUACAUGUACAGCAAGUAAGAAAAUAAUAUUGAAGGCAAUCUCUGAGUAUUUGGAUGACAGGAAGUCAUCAGGAACUGUUGCUUGACUAUUGAGAGCUUUCCCGGCACAUCUGGC